This 167-nucleotide small nuclear RNA is filed under the name Colobus angolensis palliatus. Its description in RNAcentral is "U1 spliceosomal RNA (ENSCANG00000002393.1)". It matches the Rfam family "U1 spliceosomal RNA". From Rfam's summary of the family: U1 is a small nuclear RNA (snRNA) component of the spliceosome (involved in pre-mRNA splicing). The record is from Rfam by way of RNAcentral. Lineage: Eukaryota; Metazoa; Chordata; Mammalia; Primates; Cercopithecidae.
GUAUUUACUUGGCAGAGAAAAUAGCGUGAUCAGAAGGGUGGUUUAUGGUAGGGGGAGGAUUAGUCAGUUGCACUCAGAACGUGCUGACCCUCUGCGAUUUACCCAAAUGCGGAGAACUCGACUGCAUAAUUUGUGGUAGUGGGGGACUGCGUUCGCACUUGCUCCUG